GAUGAACGCUGGCGGCGUGCCUAAUACAUGCAAGUCGAGCGAACAGACGAGGAGCUUGCUCCUCUGACGUUAGCGGCGGACGGGUGAGUAACACGUGGAUAACCUACCUAUAAGACUGGUAUAACUUCGGGAAACCGGAGCUAAUACCGGAUAAUAUAUUGAACCGCAUGGUUCAAUAGUGAAAGACGGUUUUGCUGUCACUUAUAGAUGGAUCCGCGCCGCAUUAGCUAGUUGGUAAGGUAACGGCUUACCAAGGCGACGAUGCGUAGCCGACCUGAGAGGGUGAUCGGCCACCCUGGAAGUGAGCCACGGUCCAGACUCCUACGGGAGGCAGCAGUAGGGAAUCUUCCGCAAUGGGCGAAAGCAUGACGGAGCAACGCCGCGUGAGUGAUGAAGGUCUUCGGAUCGUAAAACUCUGUUAUUAGGGAAGAACAAAUGUGUAAGUAACUAUGCACGUCUUGACGGUACCUAAUCAGAAAGCCACGGCUAACUACGUG
This 497-nucleotide ribosomal RNA is filed under the name uncultured bacterium. RNAcentral describes it as "partial 16S ribosomal RNA". It matches the Rfam family "Bacterial small subunit ribosomal RNA", at positions 28 to 507 of the family's 1533-position model. The record is from RNAcentral.